Molecule: non-coding RNA, 94 nt
Organism: Mycena leptocephala
Lineage: Eukaryota; Fungi; Basidiomycota; Agaricomycetes; Agaricales; Mycenaceae
Source: the annotation of a GenBank genome assembly
GACCUGAUGGUGUAGUGGUAACACACCUGCUGAAUUUAUGAUAUAGCCUGUAUUCUAUAAGCAGGAGGCUCUGGUUUGAACCCGGGUCAGGUCA